RNAcentral lists this small nucleolar RNA (121 nucleotides) under Echinops telfairi (small Madagascar hedgehog). Its description in RNAcentral is "Small nucleolar RNA SNORA61 (ENSETEG00000026596.1)". Lineage: Eukaryota; Metazoa; Chordata; Mammalia; Afrosoricida; Tenrecidae. The record is from RNAcentral.
AUCCUCUAGAUUCCUUACCCAUCAGAUCUAAUCACCGAUCUGAAUGGGUAUAAAAUGGGGAACAGUAUAAUUGAAGCUUACUUGAAUUCUUUUGUGACACAUGACAUAGUUUAAAACAAAC